CCUCACAGUUUGCUAAAGGAAUGAUAGGACUAUUGUGUCUAUGUCCGCAAGAAGUGGCCCACUUGCACAAAGAAUUGCUUUUAGCUGCCUGUAAUAUUUUAGCCUCAGAGCCAAGAGAAUACAAAAUGUUCCGUGUGUGAUGGUUGCAUCUUUCGAAGGUUUUCUUUAUAUCUAUGAACUGAACGUUGAAAUGCGAGGAGAU
Molecule: non-coding RNA, 202 nt
Organism: Parasteatoda tepidariorum (common house spider)
Lineage: Eukaryota; Metazoa; Arthropoda; Arachnida; Araneae; Theridiidae
Source: RefSeq, a predicted model, not a curated record